GAUGAACGCUGGCGGCGUGCCUAACACAUGCAAGUCGAGCGAACACACGAGGAGCUUGCGCCCUCGCGGGUAGCGGCGGACGGACGAGUAACACAUACAUAACAUACCUCUUAGACGGGGAUAAUAACGGGGGACAGGAGCCACUAACGCAGCAUAUUUCGAACGGGUGGGAUCGGUGGUUCAACAGACCUUUGGUAAUUGUAAUAGCCGAACCCGGGUCGGAUUAGCUAGUUGGUAAGGUAACGGCUAACCAAGGCGACGAUGCGUAGCCGACCUGAGAGGAUGAUCAGCCACACUGGAACUGAGACACGGUCCAGACUCCUACGGGAGGCAGCAGUGGGGAAUAUUCGGCAAUGGGCGAAAGCCUGAUCGAGCAACACCGCGUGAGUGAUGAAGGUCUUCGGGUCGUAAAGCUCUGUUGUUAGGAAAGAACAACAGUGUGUUUAACUGUGCACGUUCUGACGGUACCCAAAGAAUAAGCCACGGCUAACUUCGUG
This 497-nucleotide ribosomal RNA is filed under the name uncultured bacterium. RNAcentral's name for it is "partial 16S ribosomal RNA". It matches the Rfam family "Bacterial small subunit ribosomal RNA", at positions 28 to 507 of the family's 1533-position model. The record is from RNAcentral.